AUGGCACGGAGCGGUGGUCUACUCGUACCCACCCCGUGCUCCGCUUCCGCCUCGUCAUCUCAUUUCCAGAGAGAGGGAGAGAGAGGGUUCGAGAGUCUUCCAGAGAGCGGAUCCAUCCAGAGAGUGCUAGGGUUUUCUCUCCGGGCGGCGGCGAUGUCGAUGGCGGCGGCGGCGAGGGCGGCGGCGCGGGCCCCGGGCAGGGCGGCGGCGCGGUUCGUGCAGACCAGGCUCCGCUCCUCCGGCAAGGUGCUCAGCGAGGAGGAGAGGGCCGCCGAGAACGUCUACAUCAAGAAAAUGGAGCAAGAGAAGCGGGAGAAGCUCGCACGCAAGCAGGGUCCCAGCACUGGAGAGCAAGCUCCGUCCACCCCAAGCGCUGGAGCGGGUGACGUGAACACCGCAGGCGCCGGUUCAACCACGUCGGCAUCCGCAGCAGGCACGUCGACCGACAAGAACAGGAACUACGCCGUGCUGGCUGGCACCCUGGCCGGCCUGAGCGCCCUGGGCUGGUACCUCCUGUCGAAGCCCAAGAAGACGGAGGAGGUCGUCGACUGA
RNAcentral lists this ribosomal RNA (552 nucleotides) under Triticum aestivum (bread wheat). RNAcentral describes it as "partial small subunit ribosomal RNA". Lineage: Eukaryota; Viridiplantae; Streptophyta; Magnoliopsida; Poales; Poaceae. The record is from RNAcentral.